Lagenorhynchus albirostris (white-beaked dolphin) is the source of this 331-nucleotide long non-coding RNA. RefSeq lists it as uncharacterized. Lineage: Eukaryota; Metazoa; Chordata; Mammalia; Artiodactyla; Delphinidae. The record is from RefSeq and is a predicted model, not a curated record. The transcript is spliced from 3 exons.
CUGUGGUGGCAGUGGUCAAGCGUUAAAGAAAUAGUGUUCCUAAUUUAUACAAUCUAGGACACCAAUUAAGAAGGACUGCUUGGAUGUGUUUCAAGCCAGAAGGAAAGAAUCUUCUUAACAGAAUACAUAAAUUCCAGAGGAAUAGAUAUGAACAGGUUUACAGGAACAUCAUGACCUGACCUACGUGGACAGCAGCAAGAACAAAGGAUUCAGACACCAAGAAGUUUGCAACAACUAACCACUCCCCUCCCUCACCUUGCCUUUAAAAGUGCUUUGCUGAAACCCUUUGAGCAGUUUGGGGUUUUGGGGGCAUGAGCUGCAUGUCUCCUUG